RNAcentral lists this small RNA (77 nucleotides) under Arabidopsis thaliana (thale cress). RNAcentral describes it as "ATSL197320". Lineage: Eukaryota; Viridiplantae; Streptophyta; Magnoliopsida; Brassicales; Brassicaceae. The record is from RNAcentral.
ACAAGAUGUUAUGUGUUUGAUUGAGUAUAAGAACUAGAACCGCAACAGCUUCUCAAAAGCUAAAGUUGUGUUUCCCU